RNAcentral lists this ribosomal RNA (456 nucleotides) under uncultured bacterium. RNAcentral describes it as "bacterial SSU rRNA". It matches the Rfam family "Bacterial small subunit ribosomal RNA", at positions 340 to 786 of the family's 1533-position model. The record is from RNAcentral.
UACGGGAGGCAGCAGUGGGGAAUAUUGCACAAUGGGCGCAAGCCUGAUGCAGCCAUGCCGCGUGUAUGAAGAAGGCCUUCGGGUUGUAAAGUACUUUCAGUCGUGAAGGAAGGUGUUAAGGUUAAUAACCUUAGCAAUUGACGUUAGCGACAGAAGAAGCACCGGCUAACUCCGUGCCAGCAGCCGCGGUAAUACGGAGGGUGCGAGCGUUAAUCGGAAUUACUGGGCGUAAAGGGCACGCAGGCGGUUAAUUAAGUUGGAUGUGAAAUCCCCGGGCUUAACCUGGGAAUGGCAUUCAAGACUGGUUAGCUAGAGUCUUGUAGAGGGGGUAGAAUUCCAUGUGUAGCGGUGAAAUGCGUAGAGAUGUGGAGGAAAUACCGGUGGCGAAAGGCGGCCCCUGGACAAAGACUGACGCUCAUGUGCGAAAGCGUGGGGAGCAAACAGGGAUUAGAUACC